GAUGAACGCUGGCGGCGUGCCUAAUACAUGCAAGUCGAGCGAACGGACGAGAAGCUUGCUUCUCUGAUGUUAGCGGCGGACGGGUGAGUAACACGUGGAUAACCUACCUAUAAGACUGGGAUAACUUCGGGAAACCGGAGUUAAUACCGGAUAAUAUUUUGAACCGCAUGGUUCAAAAGUGAAAGACGGUCUUGCUGUCAUUUAUAGAUGGAUCCGCGCUGCAUUAGCUAGUUGGUAAGGUAACGGCUUACCAAGGCAACGAUGCAUAGCCGACCUGAGAGGGUGAUCGGCCACACUGGAACUGAGACACGGUCCAGACUCCUACGGGAGGCAGCAGUAGGGAAUCUUCCGCAAUGGGCGAAAGCCUGACGGAGCAACGCCGCGUGAGUGAUGAAGGUCUUCGGAUCGUAAAACUCUGUUAUUAGGGAAGAACAUAUGUGUAAGUAACUGUGCACAUCUUGACGGUACCUAAUCAGAAAGCCACGGCUAACUACGUG
This 497-nucleotide ribosomal RNA is filed under the name uncultured bacterium. RNAcentral describes it as "partial 16S ribosomal RNA". It matches the Rfam family "Bacterial small subunit ribosomal RNA", at positions 28 to 507 of the family's 1533-position model. The record is from RNAcentral.